Molecule: ribosomal RNA, 586 nt
Filed under: uncultured bacterium
Lineage: Bacteria
Description: partial 16S ribosomal RNA
Rfam family: Bacterial small subunit ribosomal RNA
Source: RNAcentral
UGGGGAAUUUUGGACAAUGGGCGAAAGCCUGAUCCAGCAAUGCCGCGUGUGUGAAGAAGGCCUUCGGGUUGUAAAGCACUUUUGUCCGGAAAGAAAUCCUUGGCUCUAAUACAGUCGGGGGAUGACGGUACCGGAAGAAUAAGCACCGGCUAACUACGUGCCAGCAGCCGCGGUAAUACGUAGGGUGCAAGCGUUAAUCGGAAUUACUGGGCGUAAAGCGUGCGCAGGCGGUUUGCUAAGACCGAUGUGAAAUCCCCGGGCUCAACCUGGGAACUGCAUUGGUGACUGGCAGGCUAGAGUAUGGCAGAGGGGGGUAGAAUUCCACGUGUAGCAGUGAAAUGCGUAGAGAUGUGGAGAAAUACCGAUGGCGAAGGCAGCCCCCUGGGCCAAUACUGACGCUCAUGCACGAAAGCGUGGGGAGCAAACAGGAUUAGAUACCCUGGUAGUCCACGCCCUAAAACGAUGUCAACUAGUUGUUGGGGAUUCAUUUCCUUAGUAACGUAGCUAACGCGUGAAGUUGACCGCCUGGGGAGUACGGUCGCAAGAUUAAAACUCAAAGGAAUUGACGGGGUCAUAGCUGUUUCCU